RNAcentral lists this small RNA (56 nucleotides) under unclassified sequences. RNAcentral describes it as "Streptococcus sRNA SpF59 (ldcC RNA)". It matches the Rfam family "Streptococcus sRNA SpF59 (ldcC RNA)". The record is from Rfam by way of RNAcentral.
UGACCGACACUUAAUGUGUCUUAAACGGCCAAACGGACAGCCAGGUCAAAAGCCGA